AGCUCCAAUAGCGUAUAUUAAAGUUGCUGCAGUUAAAAAGCUCGUAGUUGCAUUUCCGAGGCAAGGGAUUAGUCCGACCUUUGGUGGGUAUUUAAUCCUCUUGCCUCGUCCUUGAGUGGUGCUUCUUGGUAUUAAGUUAUCGAGGAGAUAGCCGCUCAUCGUUUACUGUGAGAAAAUUAGAGUGUUCAAAGCAGGCUUAUGCCGUUGAAUAUAUUAGCAUGGAAUAAUAAGAUAGGACCUCGGUACUAUUUUGUUGGUUUGAGAACCAAGGUAAUGAUGAAUAGGGACAGUUGGGGGUAUUCGUAUUCAAUUGUCAGAGGUGAAAUUCUUAGAUUUACGGAAGACGAACUACUGCGAAAGCAUUUACCAAGGAUGUUUGCA
RNAcentral lists this ribosomal RNA (381 nucleotides) under uncultured marine Chaetocerotaceae. RNAcentral's name for it is "SSU rRNA". It matches the Rfam family "Eukaryotic small subunit ribosomal RNA", at positions 587 to 972 of the family's 1831-position model. Lineage: Eukaryota; Bacillariophyta; Thalassiosirophyceae; Chaetocerotales; Chaetocerotaceae. The record is from RNAcentral.